RNAcentral lists this ribosomal RNA (490 nucleotides) under Bullita sp. NC. RNAcentral describes it as "partial 16S ribosomal RNA". It matches the Rfam family "Bacterial large subunit ribosomal RNA", at positions 1831 to 2582 of the family's 2925-position model. The record is from RNAcentral. Lineage: Eukaryota; Metazoa; Arthropoda; Insecta; Orthoptera; Trigonidiidae.
CUUCUAGAAUUAGAAUUGGAAGUCGGGCCUGCCCACUGAAAUGAAAUUUAAAGGGCCGCGGUAUAUUGACCGUGCAAAGGUAGCAUAAUCAUUAGUUUUUUAAUUGAAAACUGGAAUGAAUGGUUUGACGAAAUAAUCGCUGUCUUGGUUUGAAUGAUUGAAAUUUAUUUUUAAGUUAAAAAGCUUAAAUAAAGGUUGGGGACGAGAAGACCCUAUAGAUCUUGACAUAAUAAUUAAAUUUAAGGUGAAGUUUAAAAUGUUGAAUUUAAAAAUUUGUGUUUUGUUGGGGUGACGUGAGAAUAGAUAAACUUCUUUUAAUUAAGACAAAAUUUAUUGGAUAAUUGAUCCUAUAUUAAGGAAAAAAGAUUAAGAUACCUUAGGGAUAACAGCGUAAUUUUAUUGGAGAGUUCUUAUUUAUAAUAAAGAUUGCGACCUCGAUGUUGGAUUAAGAUAAUAAUUAGGUGUAGUAGCUUAACUGAUAAGUCUGUUC